This 253-nucleotide ribosomal RNA is filed under the name uncultured bacterium. RNAcentral describes it as "partial 16S ribosomal RNA". It matches the Rfam family "Bacterial small subunit ribosomal RNA", at positions 524 to 776 of the family's 1533-position model. The record is from RNAcentral.
UACGAAGGGGGCGAGCGUUGUUCGGAUUUACUGGGCGUAAAGGGCGCGUAGGCGGCCCGUUUUGUCAGGCGUGAAAGCCCUGGGCUCAACCUGGGAACUGCGCUUGGGACGGAUGGGCUUGAGAUCGGGAGAGGAGAGUGGAAUUCCCAGUGUGGAGGUGAAAUUCGUAGAGAUUGGGAAGAACACCAGUGGCGAAGGCGGCUAUCUGGACGGUUUCUGACGCUAAGACGCGAAAGCGUGGGGAGCAAACAGG